AUUGAACGCUGGCGGCAGGCUUAACACAUGCAAGUCGAGCGAGCGGCGGACGGGUGAGUAAUGUCUGGGAAACUGCCUGAUGGAGGGGGAUAACUACUGGAAACGGUAGAUAAUACUGCCAACCAUCAAAUGUGCCCAGAGGGGAUUAGCUAGUAGGUGGGGUAAUGGCUCACCUAGGCGACGAGCCCUAGCUGGUCUGUGAGGAGGACCAGCCCCACUGGAACCUAGACACGGUCCAGACUCCUACGGGAGGCAGCAGUUGGGAUUAUUGCACAAUGGGCGCAAGCCUGAUACAGCCAUGCCGCGUGUGUGAAGAAGGCCUUCGGGUUGUAAAGCACUUUCAGCGAGGAGGCGUUACUCGCAGAAGAAGCACCGGCUAACUCCGUGCCAGCAGCCGCGGUAAUUC
Molecule: ribosomal RNA, 406 nt
Filed under: uncultured bacterium
Lineage: Bacteria
Description: partial 16S ribosomal RNA
Rfam family: Bacterial small subunit ribosomal RNA
Source: RNAcentral